Long non-coding RNA from Onychostoma macrolepis, 731 nucleotides. RefSeq lists it as uncharacterized. The record is from RefSeq and is a predicted model, not a curated record. Lineage: Eukaryota; Metazoa; Chordata; Actinopteri; Cypriniformes; Cyprinidae. The transcript has 6 exons.
GAUCCCUCAGCUCAGAUUUGACAAUGACGUGGGUCCUUCCACCCAUUAAAGAGCCAUUUAUGUCACCGUUGAGCUGGCUGGUGUGGCAUUCUGCCCGUUUCGAGAUCCCCCUGGCUCAUCCAGCAAUAACGACAAUUUUGAAAGGCAGUGGAAGCUGAUCUCUAUAUCAUCACCCCUGAAAUAUUUGUCCAUCUGAAGGUGUAGCAUCCCCACCGGGCCAUCAGCAUUGCAUCAUCCAUCAGAAAUGCCUCUGGCACCACAGUAAAGCUGGGCUCCAUGACUUGAAACCCAGCGCCGGAUUCCCCAUCAGACUAUCUGUGGUGUAAUGAUGGACAGGAUUGGUUCUCACCUUUCUUUGUGGGCUCAGGCAUGUUGAGCCGUUCUCCGGUGGACCAGGCACCAGUUGAAGGGGUUCAGAGGGCUUUUCUUCGAGAUUCCUGUCUGUAAUGCUCCUCAAGAAAUUCCAGAAUCACCUCCAAAUCAGUCUGAUAUUCCUGCGGACAGUUCUGGGUUUAACUGUUCUGCAACAUCUGUGGCAAACCUUGGAAUUGUUUCCUGUCUGCUGUGGUUGAUAAAAUGUGGGAAACUGUGCUUGAAGGAUAUGAAAACUCACAAGGAAAGCCCUACAGCUAACAGGAUCCCCCAACAGCAAGAUCUUGAUCAUAUUGCACAUGUAAGGGAAUUCCCCUUCAAAAGAGCCACUUGCUUUGGUGUCAUGUUAACCGAGAUGG